Long non-coding RNA from Cyprinus carpio carpio, 1874 nucleotides. The record is from Ensembl. NCBI's taxonomy places the organism in Eukaryota, Metazoa, Chordata, Actinopteri, Cypriniformes, Cyprinidae.
GUUUGAUUCUUGCUUAAGACUGAUUUUGCAAUUCGGACAGUUCAGCUUUUUGAAGAAAUAUAGUUUAGGUUUAUUGGUUUAAUAAUUUAUAAACCUUAGAUUAUUAUAGUUGUGUAGCUUUCAGUGAAUGUGCACCAACAAAGUUUGCGGGCCUUUUGAUAUUAAAACAAAUCUGUUAAACCUUGUGCAAGUAACUGCUAAGCAAAUGACAAAGAUUACACAGUAGGAAGAUUUUUAUUUAUCCAAGUCAUAGCAGAAUAUCUGAUAAAUUAAUUUACAGCUGGACUUUGGGUCUAUGUUGUUUUGUCACUUUAUCAGCUGAUGGGAAUAUCCCUGACAAGACAUCACGCAGUUGUGGAGUUGCUUUACUGGUGAUGUUGAAAUUCUUACAGAUGUACUAAACAGCCAUCCAAAUAGAAUUUCAAAUCUUAGAAAUCUUAGAUGACUACAUCCUUUAAUGAGCACCUUUUUCAAUUUGUACUCUACCAUUCUUCCUCAAAUUUGUACAAGCAACCAUUUCAUUAAACCACUAAUGUAAUAUUUGUUCACAUGGUUUGAAAUGACAGACUUGUUUGUAUGUGGCAUGUCAGAGAAAUCAUACUUGGUGACUCUGAGACACUUUUAGCAAUUUUUUUAAAUAUAUAAAACAUGACACUAGAGACAAGGUAUUUUUUUUUUUUUUUUUAAGUGCAACAAAAAAUAUAUAAAAAAAACAUAUACUAAUACUUACAAAAAUGCGACAUAAUUAUCCAAAUUACAGCUGAUUGAUUCAUGAUGUGGAUGCCAAAAGUGUACUCUAUGUGCUCAUGGACAUGCAUUUAAAACCCAGAGUCCAUUUGUCCAUUCUGCACUCAUUUGCCAAACACGCUUCCUGAUGGAGGCUUGGGUUUCUCAAGCACCGUCUCGCUUCCAGAUCCUACUCCACUGAAAACAGAUGGCGCCACCUUCCCCAUGCGCUCUACACAACAGACAAAACACAACACUCUGAUUUCAGGGUUUUUUGCAGGUGAAAACUUUUUCCCCUUUGAAUUAAGUGUAUUUUUUCUGAACCCACUGGCAGAUAUUUGUUCUUAUUUGAAUCACAAAUGUAAAGAAUUAAAUUGUUGAGGAAGGAACAUCACUUUUUGCCGUGUGAUCAAAAGGUGGAGUAAAAGUUAUUUCUAUAUUCUAGUUAAUCUAUGUUAUUACAUUUUCAAAACAUACUCACUCUUUCAUUUAUUCCUUAAUUUUCUUUACUUGGUCUUAAAUUGACCUUCAAAAACCUACAAGGACCCUGAUAAUCCAUUAUAUACAAUACUAUUGUAUAGUAUGUAAUUACUGUACAUUACUAUUAUUAUUGUAUUCUUCAAUAUUAAAGUAUUGCGACAAUAAACCAUAGAAGGUUUCUUAAGUCUUCUAAUCUUUGUAUUACGAUCAAAAUUAAAUAAAAACCUUUUAAAAGUUCAAAAAGAUAUUACAUUCUUAUACAUCAUUUUCAAAAAGACAAUCCUUGUUCUAAUCUAAACUAUAAUAGCUAAUCUGGUGAUUUACGGUCCAAACAUGCCAAACUUACCACACUCCACCAUGACCUCGUAUGUUUUGCUCUUGACCUCUCCCUUCAGCCCCAGUUUACUGCGGGCUCCUUUCAGGUCCUCCUCCUUUACAACUGGCCUCUUCUUCUUCUUAACCUCUGACUAAUACAACUGAGACAUUCUGUAUGUUUGCGGGUCUGGUUUCUGGACAAGUUGGCGCCUGUGUACUUUGUCUUCUUUUGGUCCUGGCUCUUUUAUACCCUUGUUACCAGCUCAGUGUAACCCCCAUCCCCCCUCUCUCUCUUAUCAUUAUAUAUUAUUAGCACUGCAGUCAGUGUCAGAAAGCCUCUUUCUGAGCAUGAC